UCUAUUUUUGAAGCAAAAUAUAUAGUACCACUUAAGAUGAUUUAAUACCAAAUUAUUUGAUCCAAAUAUAUAGAAUUUAAAGUAAAAUUUGAAGCACCAUCGAAAAUGUUCUUAGCGUCUCAACGAUCAUCUAGACUGCGAGCGACGCUAGGCAACAUCCAAACAUGCGAUAAUCACCUAAUAAUCUGAACAGAACUAUAUAUUAGCAGCUUAAUUGUCAAAAAAAAAUAAAAAAAUAUUUCAGCUUAUAUAAAAAAGGGUAUCUACACUAUCUGACCAUAAAAGACUUUAUAAUUAAAUUUCUAUCUAUGCUAUUUCUUUAAUUGAAUGGACAAGAGAGAAUGUUGUUUUGACAUUUUUACCCUUUUCUAUACAUCUAAUUGUUUCUCUUCUCCUUCAUCUUCCAUGAAUUUUCUUCGACAUUGUCUAUGGUGGGUUUUCCGACGUUAUUUCCGAUCACCGUCUCUCCUCCAAAUCCUUCUCUUUCUUCAUCGUCAUCUCCAUUUCUUCACAAACAAAUUCUAUAUCUAACUUUGUAUUUGACUCGUCACUUCCAUCGCUUUUAUACACAACACACAAUCAAUCAAUCAUCACCAAAUAAUUCACAAAAACAAAGAGCUUGGAAUAGAGAUACAAAGGUAAAGAGAGAAAAAGAAAUAAUUAGUUUACAUGAUUUUAGAAUGGAUUAAACUUUUCAAUUGAAGAAUUUGGGGAUGUAAAUUAUGUUUUUGUAAUUUAGAGAAAGAUCGAAGGGGAGAAAGAGGUGGGAAAAGGAGAAGAAGAGAAGGUGAGAAGGUGAAAUUGGGAUUAGAGUUGCUGGUAACAAUGGAGGAGGAAGAAGAUUUGAGAGACGUGAAGAGAGAGGAGAAUAUUUGAGAAGAGAAGAUUUGUUUUUUCCUGAUAACACAAAAGUUAACCCUGAUAAAUAAAUUAUCAUGAUAAAUAAAUAUACUAAUGUGUAAAUUAGCGGU
Molecule: long non-coding RNA, 971 nt
Filed under: Arabidopsis lyrata
Lineage: Eukaryota; Viridiplantae; Streptophyta; Magnoliopsida; Brassicales; Brassicaceae
Description: long non-coding RNA (ALYR_LNC000416)
Source: RNAcentral